GUUGAACUGAUUUACCAAAAAUUACCGUCGUCGCCCUUCCCUGCGAUUUCAUCACUGCCCUCCUUCUUCGGUUGCAGACUAGGCAGAAACCCUAAUCGCCAUGGGAGAUAAUCGUCAGUCUUUUGUACAUCAUGCUCUUGGUGGCGGCUCAGUGGCGGAUGUGCUGUUGUGGAGGAGAUGGUGUGCUAGUGUUACUCUGCUAGUCAGUUCCACUGCGCUUUGGAUUUUGUUUGAGCGAGCUGGAUAUAAUGUCCUUUCCUUUGUUGCCAAUGUGAUGUUGCUUCUAGUUGUGAUUCUCUUCUUCUGGGCUAAAUCUGCCUCACUUCUUAACAGGCCUUUACCUCCUAUCCCUGAUUUGGAGGUUCAUGAGGAAUCUGUGGUAAAGGCUGCUGACAUGAUGCGUGUUUGGAUCAAUCAUGUCCUGAUGAUUGCCCAUGAUAUUGCUAUUGGUGGGAAUUUAAAACUAUUUGUUAAGGUUUCUCUUGUCUUGUGGCUUAUAUCUUAUGUUGGUAGUUUCUUCAACCUCCUCACUUUCAUCUACAUGGGAAUUCUUUUUAGUUUGUCUGUGCCUCUGCUGUACGACAAGUAUCAAAAUCAAAUUGAUGACAAGCUUAUUAUAGCACAAAA
Molecule: unclassified non-coding RNA, 627 nt
Filed under: Hevea brasiliensis (rubber tree)
Lineage: Eukaryota; Viridiplantae; Streptophyta; Magnoliopsida; Malpighiales; Euphorbiaceae
Source: RNAcentral